CCUUCUGACACACUCACCUGAGUGAAAGCCC
RNAcentral lists this non-coding RNA (31 nucleotides) under Mus musculus (house mouse). The record is from RNAcentral. Lineage: Eukaryota; Metazoa; Chordata; Mammalia; Rodentia; Muridae.